This 585-nucleotide ribosomal RNA is filed under the name Triticum aestivum (bread wheat). Its description in RNAcentral is "partial small subunit ribosomal RNA". Lineage: Eukaryota; Viridiplantae; Streptophyta; Magnoliopsida; Poales; Poaceae. The record is from RNAcentral.
AUGGGAGGAGCCAACCCAGAAUUUUCACUUUAUGAUUUCUCCAAGAUAAAAGAAGCUACAAAUAACUUCUCAAUUGGUAACAAACUGGGACAAGGUGGCUUUGGUCCUGUAUAUAAGGGCCGAUUAAGAAAUGGACACAAAAUAGCAGUCAAGAGACUGGAAACAUCUUCUUUGCAAGGUUUACUGGAAUUCCAGAACGAAAUUCAACUUAUAGCAAAGGUUCAACACAAAAAUCUCGUUAAACUGCUGGGAUGUUGCACUCAAGGAGAUCGAGAAAAGAUGCUUGUAUAUGAAUACAUGGAAAACAAAAGCCUAGACUACUUCAUCUUCGAUAUCAUUAAAGGAAGGCGAUUAAACUGGUCAAAACGUUUGCGCAUAAUUGAUGGGACAGCUCAAGGUCUUCUUUAUCUUCACAACUACUCACGAAUAUGCAUUGUUCAUAGGGAUUUGAAAGCAAGUAACAUUCUCUUGGAUAGUGUCAUGAAUCCAAAAAUAUCUGAUUUCGGAGUGGCCAGAAUAUUCUCCUCAAAUAUGUCAGAGUCAAAUACCACCAGAAUAGUGGGAACACGAUGGAAAAUGGAGUGA